Molecule: ribosomal RNA, 253 nt
Filed under: uncultured bacterium
Lineage: Bacteria
Description: partial 16S ribosomal RNA
Rfam family: Bacterial small subunit ribosomal RNA
Source: RNAcentral
UACGAAGGGGGCUAGCGUUAAUCGGAUUUACUGGGCGUAAAGGGCGCGUAGGUGGUUAUUUAAGUGAGAUGUGAAAUCCCCGGGCUUAACCUGGGAACUGCGUUUCUAACUGGCAGGCUUGAGUGUGGCAGAGGGGGGUGGAAUUCCACGUGUAGCAGUGAAAUGCGUAGAGAUGUGGAGGAACACCGAUGGCGAAGGCAGCCCCCUGGGCUAACACUGACGCUCAUGCACGAAAGCGUGGGGAGCAAACAGG